CUGGGUUCAAGCGAUUCUCCUGCCCCAGCCUCCCGAGUAGCUGGGACUACAGGCACUCAUCACAGCACCUGGCAUAUGGCAGGCCUUCAGUCCAAAGAUGGAAUGACAACUGGCAAUGUUCAAAUUGGUGGCUGCUCUAUCAACUUCGAACCUGGAGUAAAGACAGCACAAAACAAAGCCCACGACAGUCUCACAAUGCGUGUUUGAAGCCACUCACUUGGGGGUUGUUACUGCAGCACAACGCAGCCCAUCCUGACUGAUACAGGGUCAUGUCUGGUGAGUCAAAGCUGCCAUGAGCCUGGCGAAAACCUACCAAGGCCCAUCCUUUUCUUAAACCUGAGUUUGGAGACUCCAAGCCCACUUCCCUGGUCUCUCAGAUAAACCUCCUGCAGAGGAAAGAAAGAUAUUCCUUGGUGGCCCGAUUGGAAUGAAAAACUUCAGGAUUGAGAAGGCAGGGGAUUCUUAGACCUUAAAAAGCAAUCUAUGUUAGACAAGUUCGAGGCUGAGUGAGUCAUUUCCCAGUUGAACGUCCUUGGGCUGGUGGAAGAUUAAAUGAAGUACAUACACCAAGUGCCUAACACAGCACGCUGUGAGCUCUGGACACAAAGAUACUCACCAAAACCUUGUCGUUAAUUAGAAACCAAGAAUCCAACAAUAGAGGAACAGUUAACUAAUUAUGGUACGUUCAUGUACUGCUACAUAGCUAAAAGGGGGGAAAGAAAGGAAGAUGGUAGGGCAAUGUAAUAUGUAGGUUAUAAUAGAACAUUGUUAAGUGAAAAGAGCACAUUAUCAAACAGGUUAGCUUUGGAAACAGACCCAGAAUUGAGUCCCAGCUCUCCUAGCUGUGUGUCUUG
Piliocolobus tephrosceles (Ugandan red Colobus) is the source of this 854-nucleotide long non-coding RNA. RefSeq lists it as uncharacterized. The record is from RefSeq and is a predicted model, not a curated record. The transcript is spliced from 3 exons. NCBI's taxonomy places the organism in Eukaryota, Metazoa, Chordata, Mammalia, Primates, Cercopithecidae.